GACGAACGCUGGCGGCGUGCUUAACACAUGCAAGUCGAACGGAAAGGCCCUGCUUUUGUGGGUUGCUCGAGUGGCGAACGGGUGAGUAACACGUGAGUAACCUGCCCUUGACUUUGGGAUAACUUCAGGAAACUGGGGCUAAUACCGGAUAGGAGCUCCUGCUGCAUGGUGGGGGUUGGAAAGUUUCGGCGGUUGUGGAUGGACUCGCGGCUUAUCAGCUUGUUGGUGGGGUAGUGGCUUACCAAGGCUUUGACGGGUAGCCGGCCUGGGAGGGUGACCGGCCACAUUGGGACUGAGAUACGGCCCAGACUCCUACGGGAGGCAGCAGGGGGGAAUAUUGCACAAUGGGCGGAAGCCUGAUGCAGCAACGCCGCGUGCGGGAUGACGGCCUUCGGGUUGUAAACCGCUUUCGCCGGUGACGAAGCGUGAGUGACGGUAAUGGGUAAAGAAGCACCGGCUAACUACGUG
RNAcentral lists this ribosomal RNA (468 nucleotides) under uncultured bacterium. RNAcentral describes it as "partial 16S ribosomal RNA". It matches the Rfam family "Bacterial small subunit ribosomal RNA", at positions 28 to 507 of the family's 1533-position model. The record is from RNAcentral.